UAGGGAAUCUUCGGCAAUGGACGAAAGUCUGACCGAGCAACGCCGCGUGAGUGAAGAAGGUUUUCGGAUCGUAAAAACUCUGUUGGUAGAGAAGAACGUUGGUGAGAGUGGAAAGCUCAUCAAGUGACGGUAACUACCCAGAAAGGGACGGCUAACUACGUGCCCG
Molecule: ribosomal RNA, 166 nt
Filed under: uncultured bacterium
Lineage: Bacteria
Description: partial 16S ribosomal RNA
Rfam family: Bacterial small subunit ribosomal RNA
Source: RNAcentral